Molecule: microRNA precursor, 97 nt
Filed under: Pteropus alecto (black flying fox)
Lineage: Eukaryota; Metazoa; Chordata; Mammalia; Chiroptera; Pteropodidae
Also listed under: 1 other name
Description: mir-544 microRNA precursor family
Rfam family: mir-544 microRNA precursor family
Source: Rfam by way of RNAcentral
GUCACCUGGGCAUCUUGUUAAACGCAGCUUCUGAUUCAGUGGGUCUGGGCUGAGGGCUAAGAUUCUGCAGUUCUAAUAAGCUCCCAGGUGAUGAUAA